AGGUCGGAUUAGCUAGUUGGUGAGGUAAUGGCUCACCAAGGCUACGAUCCGUAACUGGUCUGAGAGGAUGAUCCAGUCACACUGGAACUGAGACACGGUCCAGACUCCUACGGGAGGCAGCAGUGGGGAAUAUUGGACAAUGGGCGAAAGCCUGAUCCAGCCAUGCCGCGUGUGUGAAGAAGGUCUUCGGAUUGUAAAGCACUUUAAGUUGGGAGGAAGGGCAUUAACCUAAUACGUUAGUGUUUGACGUACCGA
This 255-nucleotide ribosomal RNA is filed under the name uncultured bacterium. RNAcentral describes it as "partial 16S ribosomal RNA". It matches the Rfam family "Bacterial small subunit ribosomal RNA", at positions 233 to 481 of the family's 1533-position model. The record is from RNAcentral.